CUUCAGAACUUGAUGAUGAUGUUCCAAAAGCAACCUGCCUCUCCACUGAAAGCAGUGACACUCGGAAGGCCCCUGUCAUCACUCUUCCCUCAGAGGCAAGGGAACAAAUGGCCACCCUUGGAGAGAGGACAUUCAACUGUUGCUACCCAGGUUGCCACUUCAAAACUGUCCAUGGCAUGAAAGACUUGGACCGCCAUCUCAGAAUCCACACGGGAGACAAACCACACAAGUGUGAGUUCUGUGACAAGUGCUUCAGCCGGAAGGACAACCUGACCAUGCACAUGCGGUGCCACACCAGUGUGAAACCACACAAGUGUCACCUGUGUGACUACGCUGCCGUGGACAGCAGUAGCCUCAAGAAGCACCUGCGGAUCCACUCUGAUGAGCGGCCGUACAAAUGCCAGCUCUGCCCCUAUGCCAGCCGCAACUCCAGCCAGCUCACUGUCCACCUGCGAUCCCACACGGGUGAGUCCCUGACCAGGAAACCUCAGUCCCUUACUUUUUCUCUAAUUUCUUAACCUUCAUUUAUUUAACAACACAAGCAACUUAAAUGACUUGGUGUGGCAGAAGUACAAGAAUUUGGAACUUCUGU
RNAcentral lists this small RNA (592 nucleotides) under Pongo abelii (Sumatran orangutan). RNAcentral describes it as "processed transcript". The record is from RNAcentral. Lineage: Eukaryota; Metazoa; Chordata; Mammalia; Primates; Hominidae.